This 253-nucleotide ribosomal RNA is filed under the name uncultured bacterium. RNAcentral describes it as "partial 16S ribosomal RNA". It matches the Rfam family "Bacterial small subunit ribosomal RNA", at positions 524 to 776 of the family's 1533-position model. The record is from RNAcentral.
UACAGAGGUGGCAAGCGUUGUUCGGAAUUACUGGGCGUAAAGGGCGCGUAGGCGGUUCGUUAAGUCCUGUGUGAAAUCCCCCGGCUCAACUGGGGAACUGCACAGGAAACUAGCGGGCUUGAGUUCGGGAGAGGGAAGCGGAAUUCCCAGUGUAGCGGUGAAAUGCGUAGAUAUUGGGAGGAACACCAGUGGCGAAGGCGGCUACCUGGACCGGUUCUGACGCUGAUGCGCGAAAGCGUGGGUAGCAAACAGG